Molecule: non-coding RNA, 21 nt
Filed under: Caenorhabditis elegans
Lineage: Eukaryota; Metazoa; Nematoda; Chromadorea; Rhabditida; Rhabditidae
Source: RNAcentral
UCCUGAGCUAUAUUCCUAACU